RNAcentral lists this transfer RNA (81 nucleotides) under Ixodes scapularis (black-legged tick). It matches the Rfam family "tRNA". From Rfam's summary of the family: Transfer RNA (tRNA) molecules are approximately 80 nucleotides in length. Their secondary structure includes four short double-helical elements and three loops (D, anti-codon, and T loops). The record is from Rfam by way of RNAcentral. Lineage: Eukaryota; Metazoa; Arthropoda; Arachnida; Ixodida; Ixodidae.
GCAGUCGUGGCCGAGUGGUUAAGGUGAUGGACUAGAAAUCAAUUGGUGUCCCCCGCACAGGUUCGAAUCCUGUUGACUGCG